UAGGUGCUGCUCCAAUGAUGACUCCUCUGGAAUUAUGUACUCCAAUUGAUCAGUCUCCUUCGAGAAAGGUUGAGCUGGACGACGGAGAGCGGUUGAGCGCGACGAGAUGGCGGCGAUGAUACGACGGCGACAAGGCGACGGCGAAUUAUCAAAAUGUCAAGCACAGUACAAUAACCUAAAAAUUCAUUGAAUAAGUCAGAAUCAUUGAAUCAACCCUAAAAAAGAAUUAAAAAAAAAAGAAACAGUACAAAAAAUUCAACGUAAAAAAAUUAGAAUUAACAACCCAUCGAAAGAACAAAUCAGAAUCAACUAUCGGGAGGACGACGAAAGAAUAAAAAUAAAUCAGAAUCAAACCAACAAUCA
Arachis ipaensis is the source of this 363-nucleotide non-coding RNA. The record is from RefSeq and is a predicted model, not a curated record. NCBI's taxonomy places the organism in Eukaryota, Viridiplantae, Streptophyta, Magnoliopsida, Fabales, Fabaceae.